Molecule: unclassified non-coding RNA, 263 nt
Filed under: uncultured fungus
Lineage: Eukaryota; Fungi
Description: sequence contains ITS1
Source: RNAcentral
UUAAUUUCGUUUCAUCGUAUAGAGAAAUGCCGAAGCAAUUCCUGAUGAGUUUCAAUCAGAUUGUUUGGUGUAUCACACUUGAUAAACAAGCGGAUUUUAAAUUGUUCCAAUGUAUUUAUUAUAUCCAAUAAAGGAAAUAACAAAUAACAUCGGGAAAAAAGUUGAAGUUCCACGUGACUGAAGACGAUAGUAGCCGAAGCCACUUUCGAAUUCAUGUGAAUUAAGGUGUGGUAAUGAUCCUUCCGCAGGUUCACCUACGGAAA